AGCCGCGGUAAUUCCAGCUCCAAUAGCGUAUAUUAAAGUUGUUGCAGUUAAAAAGCUCGUAGUUGAAUUUCGGGGUUAGUAGGUUGGUCAUGCCUCUGGUAUGUACUGGUCUCACUGAUUCCUCCUUCCUGAUGAACCUUAAUGCCAUUUAUUUGGUGUUUUGGGGAAUUUGGACUGUUACUUUGAAAAAAUUAGAGUGUUUAAAGCAAGCUAACGCUUGAAUACAUUAGCAUGGAAUAAUGAAAUAGGACGUUCGAUCCUAUUUUGUUGGUUUCUAGGAUUGACGUAAUGAUUAAUAGGGAUAGUUGGGGGCAUUAGUAUUCAAUUGUCAGAGGUGAAAUUCUUGGAUUUAUUGAAGACUAACUACUGCGAAAGCAUUUGCCAAGGAUGUUUUCAUUAAUCAAGAACGAAAGUUAGGGGAUCGAAGACGAUCAGAUACCGUCGUAGUCUUAACCAUAAACUAUGCCGACUAGGGAUCGGAUGAUGUUAAUUUUUUAAUGACUCAUUCGGCGCCUUACG
RNAcentral lists this unclassified non-coding RNA (519 nucleotides) under uncultured Glomeromycotina. RNAcentral describes it as "SSU rRNA". It matches the Rfam family "Eukaryotic small subunit ribosomal RNA", at positions 572 to 1092 of the family's 1831-position model. Lineage: Eukaryota; Fungi; Glomeromycota. The record is from RNAcentral.